Gadus morhua (Atlantic cod) is the source of this 4484-nucleotide long non-coding RNA. Lineage: Eukaryota; Metazoa; Chordata; Actinopteri; Gadiformes; Gadidae. The record is from Ensembl.
GAGCGGCUUGUACUCCCCGAGGCUUCAACAGAGGGUCUGGAGCUGGGAGCUGCAGGUGGCCAGGAGGCGUUCAGUCCUACAGGAACAGACGGAGGUGACGGAGGCGGUCGUCCUGGUGGUGCUCGUCUGGAGGUCCGUGGCGGUCCUCUGGAGGUGCUCGUCUGGAGGUCCGUGGCGGUCGUCUGGAGGUGCUCGCCGUGAGGUCCGUGGCGGUCGUCUGGAGGCGCUCGCCGUGAGGUCCGUGGCGGUCGUCUGGAGGUGCUCGCCGUGAGGUCCGUGGCGGUCGUCUGGAGGCGCUCGCUGCAGAUGGAGGGAAGGCCGGGAGCUGUGCAGCCCAACGGAUGCAGAACGGUGAGACGCGGAACUGCACAGCUGCACAUUUCUUUCUAGGCUUGGUGAAUUGUUUAGAAUUAAACCUUUGACAUGCAGCCACAGCAGCUUUGAAGUGUUCUGAAAAAUGUCCGCUGCAUUCUCAGCCACUAGGACCAGCUCCAGGAUGUAGGCUAGGUGUGUGUGGCUGGCUGUUGGGUUAAAUAAUGCCUCACUCAAGGCUGCACAGUAGGGCAUCAGGGAGAUCUGUGGGAGCUAAAGCAGAGGAGUUGAUGAUCUGCAUCAUGUACGGGGAGAAAUGUGCAGUGUGCAACUGGAACGUGUCAUUCGCCUUUCAGAAGGACUGAGGCGGAGGCCAGCCUGGAGGCGGAGGCCAGCCUGGAGGCGGCGGUGGCCUGGAGGUCCUGGAGGCGUCCAACCUGGAAGGGGCGGCAUGGAGGGCCAGAAGGGCCUGGAGGCGGCCAACCUGGAAGGCCUGGAGACGGCAGAGGUCCUGGAGGCAACGGCGGGCCUGGAGGCGGAGGCCAACCUGGAGGUCCUGGAGGCGGUGGCAGCGGCCAUCCUGGAGGAGGACAACCUGGAGGUCCUGGAGAGCCUCGAGGCGCCGGCGGCAGCCAUCCUGGAGGCGACGGCGGAGACCAACCUGGAGGGCCUGGAAAGGUGGUACGGACCAACCUGGAGGUCCUGGCGGUGGCGUCCACCUGGCGGCGGCGGCGGCGUCCUGGAGGGCCCGGCGGUGGCGGCGUCCUGGAGGGCCCCGGCGGCGGCGGUGGCGGCGUCCUGGAGGGCCCCGGCGGCGGCGGUGGCGGCGUCCUGGAGGGCCCCGGCGGCGGCGGCGUCCUGGAGGGCCCCGGUGGCGUCCUGGAGGGCCCCGGCGGCGUCCUGGAGGGCCCGGCGGCGGCGGCGUCCUGGAGGGCCCGGCGGCGGCGGCUCCUCAUCCAAAAUGAGGCGACGUUUCGGAGGUCCAGGCGGUCGGCCCGGUGGAGGUCCUGGAGGAGACGGUCCCGGCGGUGGAGGUCCAGGUGGGUGGCCCGGUGGAGGUCCUGGAGGAGACGGUCUCGGCGGUGGAGGACGGCUGGGGGAUCCGGCGGUGGAGGUCCGAAGGCGGCUCGUGAUUAGACCAACCAGCUCCUCAUCCAUGGAAGGAUUGAAGGAGUCACUGGGGAUGAAGAUCACUGGGGAUGAAGAUCACUGCUCAGGGGCUGACGACCACCCCCCCCCCCCCCCCCCCCCCUCAUCUUUCCGGAGAAGGUAUAUAAAUCUACAGCUGAUGUGAUUAAAGUUCUGCAGUUCAGAUCUGCUGAUAAAGGGUCCCAUACCGUAUCCACAGCGUCCUCAAGGUGCAGGCGGUCAAACCACCACAUCUUUGAAGAGACCAAGCAGCUUGAUGACUGACUGGUUCCUUAUACUCCGGAGCAGAGGACGGACCAAAGGCCCGCAGCGCAGCAGACUAGAGACUCUGUGGAACCGGUAAGAUGCUGGAUUGACUAUCUUGAAGACAUUUUCAUUUAUUCAACGGUUAGUUUUGUUUGGCGGGUAUGUUGCUUUGAUACUAGGGGCUUCCUCUGUAACAAACUUUCUAGAGAAUAAGAUCUUAUUUCAGCCAAUCAGUGGGAUGUCCAUGAACAAGAGCCAAUGGCUGAAGGUGCUCAAACGCAUUCUUUUGACUCGCUCCUCUACUAUUGCUGUAAUCAAGCUGGAUGGCUAUUUUGCUCCUUCUACUGACAAAAUCAAGUCUGCCACCUGGUGGCCGAUGAGGGCGUAGCUACUCUGGGCACAUUGGAAACAUGAUAAGAGCCUGUUUUUGAUGGUUGGAUCGUACACCUAAAUGUUUUUACAUCAAAAUAUCGCCGAACCCCAUGUUGGACAAUGCUUGUUUCAUCCUUUCUAUGUUUAGCUUUGAUUUAUCCUUACCUUUUCAUGUGACCAUUCCCCUUAGGUUCAAUAAAGUUGACCUCUCCUUCAGGCGACUUGAAGGGAGACCAGAUGUGCGGCAGCUGGGUGUCGCGGUGCAGAGACCCAACGCUGGUAAAUAUUUACUUCCUCCUUGAACAGACCUAACGCGUCCAACGGCAAUUCUAUAAUCCCUCCUGAUCUUUAUCAAGGUCUGAAGACCAGUCUUUUCUGUGAACAUCUCCACUGACUAGUGUGCUCUUAAUUAAUUUGAAGUUAAUUAAAUGCAGUAACUCCAAUGCACCUGGAGGCUCGUAUUGUCUUUUUUUGAAACCUGGUUCACUAGGACUGUUGCGGUAAAUAAAUGCUUGUUUUUUCGCUAAUUUAAGUCUAUGGAAUCAAAUGCUGAUUGAGACCAGAUGGGGCUGUUCCUGUAUUUAUAGACAUUUGAUUGCCCUAGAAACUGAUUCUACUUUUUGCAUCAAUUUACUUCACAGCACUGAACUACACCAGUGUGUCCUACGCCCCCAUAAACCCUGAGGAUCCCUGGCUACACCAGCACAUUAAUCCACACCCAACAUUAACACGCAGUGCACACUCUAUAGAGUUUGUAAGUCCGCCCCUUGCGGCGGGACCUCGUGAGAUCGUAAGAUAUGACUGGGUUUCAAUGGAGAGAAAGUCAUUAUUUUCUCCAUUAUGUUGCACCACAUUUUGGGGGAAGAAUGUUUGAAUCAAUCUUUGUCAUUUAUUUCCGUACUCCAUAUCUGUAAUCCCAGCUGUUGUAUUUUAACACGGUAGCUGGGAAUCCUCUUUAUAGGGAGCGACUAGAGGGACGAGGCUGGAAGCAAACCUGAGCCUGGCUCUUAACCUUCUUUCUAAACCUAAUGCCGCAAUUUAACCGCAAAUAAAGUGAGGCCUAAAGUAACUUGACUCUCUUACCUAAACUUGCUUGCCUAAACUCGCUUGUCUAAACUCGCUUGCAUAAAAUCUGAACUUGCUUGGCUAAACUCGCGUCACUUGCCUAAUACCUGAACUCGCUUGCCUAAACUCGCUUGCCUAAACUCGCUUGCCUAAACUCGCUUGCCUAAACUCGCUUGCCUAAUACCUGAACUCUCUUGCCUGAACUCUCUUGCCUGAACUCUCUUGCCUGAACUCUCUUGCCUGAACUCUCUUGCCUGAACUCUCUUGCCUGAACUCUCUUGCCUGAACUCUCUUGCCUGAACUCUCUUGCCUGAACUCUCUUGCCUGAACUCGCUUGCCUGAACUCGCUUGCCUGAACUCGCUUGCCUAAACUCGCUUGCCUAAACUCGCUUGCCUAAACUCGCUUGCCUAAACUCGCUUGCCUAAAACCUAACUUGCUCAGCUUGACUCGCUUGCAUAAUAACUGAACUCGCUUGCAUAAAACUUGCUUAGCUUGACUCGCUUGCCUGUACUUGCUUGGCUAAACUCGCUUGCCUAAUACCUGAAGUCGCUUGCCUGAAGUCGCAUGCCUAAUACCUGAAGUCGCUUGCCUAAAACCUAAACUUGCUUGUCCAAACAUGUUACACAAAGUUAACCAUCCAUAAUCUUUAACCCAAACCAGACUUGUCCCUGGGUCGCUCCACUAUAAUUUAGAAGUUUCUUCUUUUACCUCAUCUGCGUUUUGAGUUUCAUUCUUUGAGGGCUUGAAGUGCUUUGGAGGAUAUUUGAACCUUUGUUUGCCGCAUUUGUUCGCCAAAUGUUCAGUGUCCUUUGACGUAAUGUCUAUGGUCUGACGAUAAUCUGACCUCUUCAUGAAGCAGAAUGUGUGUGAAUGUUGUCCCGUGAGCUCCAGGCUCUCAGGAAUACUCCCUGAGUAUUUCAGACCUGUGGUGUUUCACAUGAGACCUUAAUGGGAACUUUUCUUUUUCUGCCUGCAUACGUAAUGCCUACAUUAGUAGGGUGAUCACUGUUGAUCCCAAUAUUGAUCAUUAACCACCUCAUUCUUUUAUGAUUUCUUUCGAUAAGGAUUACAAAUCAUGUAAUUUAUGAGCAUAUUUGCAAAUGGCUCCAAAUAUCAGAUUCUGUAAAAACUAAUGAAAUGUAACCUGCUAGAAAAUAAAACAUCCAAAUAUUAUAAACCUGUUUUGUGUUGCUCUCUUACCAUGUGGAAAUGAAACGCAGAUAGAUAUGUUUAGCUCUGAUUUGCUGCCUCCUUUUGGUGUGGUGCUGGGAUUUGUUUAAUAUAUUAUCAUUUCCAGGAUAAGUUAAUAACCUAGCAUAGCCUACCCGGAAAAGAAGGG